RNAcentral lists this ribosomal RNA (333 nucleotides) under Triticum aestivum (bread wheat). RNAcentral's name for it is "partial small subunit ribosomal RNA". The record is from RNAcentral. Lineage: Eukaryota; Viridiplantae; Streptophyta; Magnoliopsida; Poales; Poaceae.
GUUUAUGGAGGUGACGAAGAGCCCGUCGUAAAGGGUUACAUCGAUGCUAGCUUCGACACAGAUCUGGAUGACUCUAAGUCACAAACCGGAUACGUGUAUAUUUUGAAUGGUGGGGCAGUAAGCUGGUGCAGUUACAAGCAAAGCGUUGUGGCGGGAUCUACAUGUGAAGCGGAGUACAUGGCAGCCUCGGAGGCAGCACAAGAAGCAGUCUGGGUGAAGGAGUUCAUUACCAACCUAGGAGUCAUACCCAAUGUGUCGGGCCCGAUGACUCUCUUCUGUGACAACACUGGAGCUAUUGCCCUUGCCAAGGAGCCCAGGUUUCACAGGAAGACC